RNAcentral lists this ribosomal RNA (447 nucleotides) under uncultured bacterium. RNAcentral's name for it is "bacterial SSU rRNA". It matches the Rfam family "Bacterial small subunit ribosomal RNA", at positions 29 to 521 of the family's 1533-position model. The record is from RNAcentral.
AACGAACGCUGGCGGCAGGCCUAACACAUGCAAGUCGAGCGAGGACUUCGGUCCUAGCGGCGGACGGGUGAGUAACGCGUGGGAACGUGCCCUUUGGUACGGAAUAGCCCCGGGAAACUGGGAGUAAUACCGUAUGGUGUCUUCGGACUAAAGAUUUAUCGCCAAAGGAUCGGCCCGCGUUGGAUUAGGUAGUUGGUGGGGUAAUGGCCUACCAAGCCGACGAUCCAUAGCUGGUUUGAGAGGAUGAUCAGCCACACUGGGACUGAGACACGGCCCAGACUCCUACGGGAGGCAGCAGUGGGGAAUCUUAGACAAUGGGGGCAACCCUGAUCUAGCCAUGCCGCGCGAGUGAUGAAGGCCCUAGGGUUGUAAAGCUCUUUCAGCUGGGAAGAUAAUGACGGUACCAGCAGAAGAAGCCCCGGCUAACUCCGUGCCAGCAGCCGCGGU